RNAcentral lists this ribosomal RNA (320 nucleotides) under uncultured bacterium. Its description in RNAcentral is "bacterial SSU rRNA". It matches the Rfam family "Bacterial small subunit ribosomal RNA", at positions 470 to 789 of the family's 1533-position model. The record is from RNAcentral.
UGACGGUAGCUAAGGAGCAAGCCACGGCUAACUACGUGCCAGCAGCCGCGGUAAUACGUAGGUGGCAAGCGUUGUCCGGAAUUACUGGGUGUAAAGGGAGCGUAGGCGGGGAGUCAAGUCAGCUGUGAAAACUACGGGCUUAACCUGUAGACUGCAGUUGAAACUGAUUCUCUUGAGUGAAGUAGAGGUUGGCGGAAUUCCGAGUGUAGCGGUGAAAUGCGUAGAUAUUCGGAGGAACACCGGUGGCGAAGGCGGCCAACUGGGCUUUAACUGACGCUGAGGCUCGAAAGUGUGGGGAGCAAACAGGAUUAGAUACCCUG